Molecule: small nuclear RNA, 75 nt
Filed under: Gorilla gorilla gorilla (western lowland gorilla)
Lineage: Eukaryota; Metazoa; Chordata; Mammalia; Primates; Hominidae
Source: RNAcentral
AAAAAAAAAAAAAAAAGAUUAGUAUGGCCCCUGUCCAAGGAUGACACACAAAUUUGUAAAGUAUUCCAUAGUUUU